RNAcentral lists this ribosomal RNA (322 nucleotides) under uncultured eukaryote. RNAcentral's name for it is "partial 18S ribosomal RNA". It matches the Rfam family "Eukaryotic small subunit ribosomal RNA", at positions 1470 to 1796 of the family's 1831-position model. The record is from RNAcentral.
CCCUUAGAUGUUCUGGGCCGCACGCGUGCUACACUGAGUGGAUCAGCGGGUCAGGUUGCGCGAAAGUGUUUCCUAAUCUUUAAAUCCGCUCGUGAUGGGGAUUGACGGUUGCAAUUUUCCGUCAUGAACGAGGAAUACCUUGUAAGCGCGGGUCAUCAUCCCGCGCUGAAUACGUCCCUGCCCCUUGUACACACCGCCCGUCGCUCCUACCGAUUGAGUGGUCCGGUGAGGCUUUGGGAUCUGGGCGGAAAGAGCGUUUCGCUGUUUCUGCCCGGAAAACUCAGUCGAACCUUAUCAUUUAGAGGAAGGAGAAGUCGUAACA